UACGAAGGGGGCUAGCGUUGCUCGGAUUGACUGGGCGUAAAGGGCGCGUAGGCGGUUCGUACAGUCAGACGUGAAAUUCCUGGGCUCAACCUGGGGGCUGCGUUUGAUACGUGCGGGCUUGAGUGCGGAAGAGGGUCGUGGAAUUCCCAGUGUAGAGGUGAAAUUCGUGGAUAUUGGGAAGAACACCGGUGGCGAAGGCGGCGACCUGGUCCGAUACUGACGCUGAGGCGCGAAAGCGUGGGGAGCAAACAGG
This 253-nucleotide ribosomal RNA is filed under the name uncultured bacterium. RNAcentral describes it as "partial 16S ribosomal RNA". It matches the Rfam family "Bacterial small subunit ribosomal RNA", at positions 524 to 776 of the family's 1533-position model. The record is from RNAcentral.